This is a long non-coding RNA of Rosa chinensis, 237 nucleotides long. RefSeq lists it as uncharacterized. Lineage: Eukaryota; Viridiplantae; Streptophyta; Magnoliopsida; Rosales; Rosaceae. The record is from RefSeq and is a predicted model, not a curated record. The transcript has 4 exons.
AGAUUUUAGGAACAAUUUGCAGGCGGAUUCUUCAGUUGUCUUGCAUUCGGGUCUGCUGUAGGAAAACUGAGGCAACGAUUACGGAUUUUGCAGACAUUGAAUCGACAUCACUGUUGACUGUAGGUUGACAUUCACGUUCCAGUCCAGUUGCAAAUCAGAGUUUCUUUAUUGAUAGAACCGUGCCAAUUGAAAGGUUUAAAACGGAACAGCAGCUAAACUGUCAAAGCUCUACAGUUU